RNAcentral lists this long non-coding RNA (228 nucleotides) under Brassica napus (rape). RNAcentral describes it as "long non-coding RNA (BNAP_LNC005707)". The record is from RNAcentral. Lineage: Eukaryota; Viridiplantae; Streptophyta; Magnoliopsida; Brassicales; Brassicaceae.
CGAUCUGUACCGGUGGAGCUUCUUCGAGUCAUUAUAAGAAAUUUGAAAACUCACUUUCCACCGAAGAAGAAGAUCUAGUUCCCGCAAUGGGUUCUUCAUAAUUUUGCCUAUAUGUAUUUGUUCACAUUAUCAUACAUUUUGGAGUUUUAGGUUUCAAUAUAUCUUUAAUUGACUUUUAUUAUUCUUAUUCGCAGAAGAUGAAGUUGAUGGUGAAGAAGAGAAAUCUCC